RNAcentral lists this transfer RNA (65 nucleotides) under Mystonectes coelamboides. RNAcentral describes it as "tRNA-Cys". It matches the Rfam family "tRNA". From Rfam's summary of the family: Transfer RNA (tRNA) molecules are approximately 80 nucleotides in length. Lineage: Eukaryota; Metazoa; Arthropoda; Insecta; Coleoptera; Dytiscidae. The record is from RNAcentral.
AGUAUUGUAGUUAAAUUAAGAAUUUUAAAUUGCAAAUUUAAAGGUGGGAAUCUUUCCCAAUACUU